UCACUAAUUAGCCAAGUUCAAGUAUACCUGAUAAAUUUUGAAACUCGAUUUUCUCGAAAACUUAAUCUGAGAAUGAAAAAAUUGUAUUCUAUAUCAUUUUCUUAUUUUUCCAGAAACAGUCAUGUCAUGCUCGUUUUUACACGUUAUUCGGUCGGAUCUUGUACAUUUUCGAAAAUAUUAAAUUAAACUAUUAAUUAAUAUAAACAUUAAAUGUUAUCUAAGAAGUAUUACCUUAACUUCUUCUCGCGUUUGUUCGAUAAAACUUCGUUGAACCGUUAAUUCCUUGUUAUCUAUCUUAAACUUUGUCGGAUUUUUUUCUACAAUACAUCGUGUCUUCUAGAUCAUCGAGAUCCCAUUCUAUUGAGCGUAAAGCUUUUCGUAAUUCGGUAGUAGUCCACUCUAAUUCGUCACGUGAGAUUGGGAUUCCCCCACUCACGGUAGAGCUCGUGACAAUAACAUCUUGCAAUUCCGUCCAGCGCCCGUAUAAACCGCGGUUUUUAUUUAAGGCCUUGCAAACUUCGCUACAAAACAAAUAAGUGAUAUUAUUUAUAUUAUAAAUUAAAAAAUUAUAAUACAUUAAUUACAUUACAUUAAUUAAAUAUUAUAUCAGUAAUAUAAAUAAAUUAUACAUUAAAAUAUAAGAAUAUAUAAUAUAGAAUAAUAUAAUACAUGUAAAUAAACAACACAAACAACAAUUAUUGUUUGUAAGGAAUAAAAUGAAUAAAAUUAUUUCAUAUUUAAGAAGGGAACGAUAAAUUUUUGCACUGCAACGUCGUUAGUAAUUAAUGGUUGAUCACAAAUAUGUUAUAUAAAUAUAAGCACUUUGACUUAACAAGUGUUAUGUAAUCGUAACAAGUACUUCAAAUAUCAGGAAAUUUGUUUUUGAUACUUAACAAACUAGUAAAAUUAUGUACAUGUGAAAAUCUAAUUAGUUGUAAUAAAUAUACAUCAACGUUUCUUUCUAGUAAUUCAUAUUUAGUAAUAAA
This 986-nucleotide unclassified non-coding RNA is filed under the name Bombus terrestris (buff-tailed bumblebee). RNAcentral describes it as "misc RNA ENSBTSG00005033845.1". The record is from RNAcentral. Lineage: Eukaryota; Metazoa; Arthropoda; Insecta; Hymenoptera; Apidae.